GGCAGAGGGAGCCCGACCCCCGUGGCGACACGAGGAAAGUCCCCCCACCGUCCGGGCAGGCGACCGGGCACACGCCCGGAGUCGGAGACGGCUGGCUCUCGAACAGAGACGACACCGCCCGCGCCGACCGAUGAGGCGUGCGAACCGCCCCGAGAGGGGUCCGUGGUCGCGAGGCCACGAGCACCGCGCGGCGACCCGCGCGGGCCGGGAGCCCCCGCCGAGGGGUCGGAGAUCUCGGAUCUCCGUCGACGCGCGGGAACGGGUGGAACGACGAACCUCGCCGGUGCAAGCCCACACUGACGGCGCACACGCGCCCGAUGGUAGUCUGGACGGGACCCGGGUCGUGGCUCGCCACGACCCGCGGGGCCGGUGUGGGCGCUCAGCCGAAUGUCGGGUCGAACCGAAGGGGGCUUACUCCCCUCAGCC
RNAcentral lists this RNase P RNA (426 nucleotides) under halophilic archaeon J07HB67. RNAcentral's name for it is "archaeal RNase P". It matches the Rfam family "Archaeal RNase P". Rfam says of the family: Ribonuclease P (RNase P) is a ubiquitous endoribonuclease, found in archaea, bacteria and eukarya as well as chloroplasts and mitochondria. Lineage: Archaea; Methanobacteriati; Methanobacteriota; Halobacteria; Halobacteriales. The record is from RNAcentral.